Molecule: ribosomal RNA, 465 nt
Filed under: uncultured Klebsiella sp.
Lineage: Bacteria; Pseudomonadati; Pseudomonadota; Gammaproteobacteria; Enterobacterales; Enterobacteriaceae
Description: bacterial SSU rRNA
Rfam family: Bacterial small subunit ribosomal RNA
Source: RNAcentral
CCUACGGGAGGCUGCAGUGGGGAAUAUUGCACAAUGGGCGCAAGCCUGAUGCAGCCAUGCCGCGUGUGUGAAGAAGGCCUUCGGGUUGUAAAGCACUUUCAGCGGGGAGGAAGGCGUUAAGGUUAAUAACCUCGGCGAUUGACGUUACCCGCAGAAGAAGCACCGGCUAACUCCGUGCCAGCAGCCGCGGUAAUACGGAGGGUGCAAGCGUUAAUCGGAAUUACUGGGCGUAAAGCGCACGCAGGCGGUCUGUCAAGUCGGAUGUGAAAUCCCCGGGCUCAACCUGGGAACUGCAUUCGAAACUGGCAGGCUAGAGUCUUGUAGAGGGGGGUAGAAUUCCAGGUGUAGCGGUGAAAUGCGUAGAGAUCUGGAGGAAUACCGGUGGCGAAGGCGGCCCCCUGGACAAAGACUGACGCUCAGGUGCGAAAGCGUGGGGAGCAAACAGGAUUAGAUACCCGAGUAGUC